This 500-nucleotide ribosomal RNA is filed under the name uncultured bacterium. Its description in RNAcentral is "partial 16S ribosomal RNA". It matches the Rfam family "Bacterial small subunit ribosomal RNA", at positions 28 to 507 of the family's 1533-position model. The record is from RNAcentral.
GACGAACGCUGGCGGCGUGCUUAACACAUGCAAGUCGAACGGGUCUGCCCUGUUUUUUGCGGGGUGGGUCAGUGGCGAACGGGUGAGUAACACGUGAGUAACCUGCCCCUCACUUCUGGAUAACCGCUUGAAAGGGUGGCUAAUACGGGGUGUUCUGGCUGUGCCGCAUGGUGUGGCUGGGAAAGAUUCACUUUUGUGGUGUUUUGGUGGGGGAUGGGCUCGCGGCCUAUCAGCUUGUUGGUGGGGUGAUGGCCUGCCAAGGCUUUGACGGGUAGCCGGCCUGGGAGGGUGGGCGGUCACACUGGGACUGAGAUACGGCCCAGACUCCUGCGGGAGGCAGCAGUGGGGGGUAUUGCACAAUGGGCGGAAGCCUGAUGCAGCGACGUCGCGUGAGGGAUGGAGGCUUUCGGGUUGUGAACCUCUUUCGCCGGUGAAGAAGGUCCUGCUCUUUGUGGUGGGGUUGACGGUAGCCGGGUUAUGAAGCGCCGGCUAACUACGUG